UGGGGAAUAUUGGACAAUGGGCGAAAGCCUGAUCCAGCCAUGCCGCGUGUGUGAAGAAGGUCUUCGGAUUGUAAAGCACUUUAAGUUGGGAGGAAGGGCAGUAAAUUAAUACUUUGCUGUUUUGACGUUACCGACAGAAUAAGCACCGGCUAACUCUGUGCCAGCAGCCGCGGUAAUACAGAGGGUGCAAGCGUUAAUCGGAAUUACUGGGCGUAAAGCGCGCGUAGGUGGUUCGUUAAGUUGGAUGUGAAAUCCCCGGGCUCAACCUGGGAACUGCAUUCAAAACUGACGAGCUAGAGUAUGGUAGAGGGUGGUGGAAUUUCCUGUGUAGCGGUGAAAUGCGUAGAUAUAGGAAGGAACACCAGUGGCGAAGGCGACCACCUGGACUGAUACUGACACUGAGGUGCGAAAGCGUGGGGGAGCAAAACAGGAUUA
This 435-nucleotide ribosomal RNA is filed under the name uncultured bacterium. Its description in RNAcentral is "partial 16S ribosomal RNA". It matches the Rfam family "Bacterial small subunit ribosomal RNA", at positions 355 to 780 of the family's 1533-position model. The record is from RNAcentral.